RNAcentral lists this small RNA (28 nucleotides) under Bombyx mori (domestic silkworm). Its description in RNAcentral is "ovarian small RNA-20986". Lineage: Eukaryota; Metazoa; Arthropoda; Insecta; Lepidoptera; Bombycidae. The record is from RNAcentral.
UACGAGAGAGACUCUGAUGGCCGAUAUA